This 454-nucleotide long non-coding RNA is filed under the name Pan troglodytes (chimpanzee). RNAcentral describes it as "long non-coding RNA NONPTRT001053". Lineage: Eukaryota; Metazoa; Chordata; Mammalia; Primates; Hominidae. The record is from RNAcentral.
CGGCGCCAGAUGCGCGGGGUCCGAGCGAGGGGCGGAGGCGACAGGUGCUGCGAGGGGGAUCAUCUUCCUUGCUGACAAGUAUCAUCUAGGAAUCACUCUACCUCGCUGGCAAUUUUGAGAAAAUAGCCAGUUAUUUUUGUGCUGAACUUUCAUCUGGUUAAGGGUCAUUCCUUCAGCAUUCAACUAAUAUUUACUCUCCUAUAUCCUCACCCACCCCAUGGAAAGAAUAUAUGUCACUUCAUCAACAAAAGGCUUGGCCAUGUGACUUUCUUUAGCCAAUGGAAUGUCAGUAGAUGUAAUUUACCACAUCCUUGCAGAAGUUUUAGAUGUGCCUGCAUGAAUUGACUUGGUCUCUUGAGCUUCUGAUCUCUACCAAAAGAAGCGCUUUCCUCAGGCAAUCCAGGACUGCAAAAACACAUACAGCCCAGCAAAGCUGUAGCCAACGCAAAGGCCU